GACGAACGCUGGCGGCGUGCUUAACACAUGCAAGUCGAACGGAAAGGCCCCUUUGGGGGUACUCGAGUAGCGAACGGGUAAGUAUCACGAGAGUAACCUGAACUUGACCUCGGGACAACUUCAGGAAACUGGGGCUAAUACCGGAAAGGAAUCCUAGCCGCAUGGGGGGGGUUGGAAAGCUUCGGCGGCUUUGGAUGGACUCGCGGCCUAUCAGCUUGUUGGUGGGGUAGUGGCUUACCAAGGCUGUGGCGGGUAGCCGGCCUGAGGGGGGGACCGGCCACAUUGGGGCUGAGAUACGGCCCAGACUCCUACGGGGGGCAGCAGGGGGGAAUAUUGCCCCAUGGGCGGCAGCCUGAUGCAGCAACGCCGGGUGCGGGAUGGCGGCCUUCGGGUUGGAAACCGCGUUCAGCAGGGGCGAAGCUUGUGGUGACGGUACCUGCAGAAGAAGCACCGGCUAACUACGUG
This 465-nucleotide ribosomal RNA is filed under the name uncultured bacterium. RNAcentral's name for it is "partial 16S ribosomal RNA". It matches the Rfam family "Bacterial small subunit ribosomal RNA", at positions 28 to 507 of the family's 1533-position model. The record is from RNAcentral.